RNAcentral lists this ribosomal RNA (478 nucleotides) under uncultured bacterium. RNAcentral's name for it is "partial 16S ribosomal RNA". It matches the Rfam family "Bacterial small subunit ribosomal RNA", at positions 28 to 523 of the family's 1533-position model. The record is from RNAcentral.
GACGAACGCUGGCGGCGUGCUUAACACAUGCAAGUCGAACGGUAAGGCCCUUCGGGGUACACGAGUGGCGAACGGGUGAGUAACACGUGGGUGAUCUGCCCUGCACUUCGGGAUAAGCCUGGGAAACUGGGUCUAAUACCGGAUAGGACCACUGCCUGCAUGGGUGGUGGUGGAAAGCUUUUGCGGUGUGGGAUGGGCCCGCGGCCUAUCAGCUUGUUGGUGGGGUAAUGGCCUACCAAGGCGACGACGGGUAGCCGGCCUGAGAGGGUGACCGGCCACACUGUGACUGAGAUACGGCCCAGACUCCUACGGGAGGCAGCAGUGGGGAAUAUUGCACAAUGGGCGCAAGCCUGAUGCAGCGACGCCGCGUGAGGGAGGACGGCCUUCGGGUUGUAAGCCUCUUUCAGCACCGACGAAGCGCAAGUGACGGUAGGUGCAGAAGAAGGACCGGCCAACUACGUGCCAGCAGCCGCCGUAA